AGCAGAGCUUGGAUGCAAAGCCAGCUAGUUCUUGUGGCUUUAAAUCUAGGGCCACUUCCAUUACACUAUGCUGCUACUACAAUGAGGGUAAGAAGGAACAAGCAUUUAUAUAGACUAUAUGCCAGGCACUGUGCUAAGUGCUUUCCACAAAUAUUACCUCAUUUGAUCUUCACAACAACUCUGCCAGCCAACAAGCCACCAUGAUCAAUGCAGGUUGUUAAUGUGUCAUAACAUUAACAAGGAACAAAUCUAAGGAUACCCUCUUUAUUACUUCAGGAAGACACCAGGAAGCUUUAAGAAAACUGGGGUCAGGAAUAAAGACAGUCAGUGUGGCUUACUGGAUUCAGGGGAGCCGGCCCCUGAAGAUGUUCCAGGGCCCCGAAAUUCAGAACUGAAAAUACCUUCCCUCCCCAACUCCGACUGUACCUCAUUUCGGCCCCCGUGGAUCCUGGACCUGGUAAACCUCCGGAGAUCACUUUUGUAGGAGAAUGGACAGAAAGCUGGUUCCUAC
This is a long non-coding RNA of Phascolarctos cinereus (koala), 511 nucleotides long. RefSeq lists it as uncharacterized. Lineage: Eukaryota; Metazoa; Chordata; Mammalia; Diprotodontia; Phascolarctidae. The record is from RefSeq and is a predicted model, not a curated record.